This 999-nucleotide ribosomal RNA is filed under the name Eimeria gruis. Its description in RNAcentral is "eukaryotic LSU rRNA". It matches the Rfam family "Eukaryotic large subunit ribosomal RNA", at positions 1 to 899 of the family's 3401-position model. The record is from RNAcentral. Lineage: Eukaryota; Apicomplexa; Conoidasida; Eucoccidiorida; Eimeriidae.
AUAGACCUGAAAUCAGUCGAGGUUACCCGCUGAAUUUAAGCAUAUUAUUAAGCGGAGGAAAAGAAAAUAACAAUGAUUCCCCUAGUAACGGCGAGUGAAGCGGGAUUAGCUCAAAGUGAAAAUCGUUGGUCCAUUUUGGUCCCACGAGUUGUAGCCUCUAGAGGCGCUACCAGUGGAGGGGCAGGUCCAAGUUUCUUGGAACAGAACUUCAGAGAGGGUGACAGUCCCGUCCUUUGUCCUGCUCGGCUUCUUCCACGUACGGUGCGCUUUUAUUGAGUCGCGUUCAUUGGGAUUUGAGCGCAAAAUGUGUGAUAAGUUUCACAUAAAGCUAAAUAUUGGCGCGAGACCGAUAGCAAACAAGUACUGUGAAGGAAAGAUGAAAAGGACUUUGGAAAGAGAGUUAAAAGUGCCUGAAAUUGCUGGAAGGGAAGCGAUUGAAACCUUUGUUUCCUUUGGGUGCCACAGGAUGUUGCUGAUCAGUCUCUUUCCUUUUCCGUUAAAGGAUUGGAUUGGGAAUGUUUUUGCAUCUGUAUCAUCCUGUUAAUCCCUUAGGUUUUGGUCAGCAUCGGCGGUAUCAUUUGAGAUUAUACUACUCAAAGCAGGUAGACCUCCAGUGGGUCAUUAUAGAUUUGAGGUUUUAUGUAUUUCUCAUGGCUGCCGAGGUGUGUUCUCGCGCGUUCAAUGGCUCCACUUUCGAGUACCAUUGUUCUGUGAUGCUGUCUCUAACGGUUUCAACCGACCCGUCUUGAAACACGGACCAAGGAGUCUAACAUAUGUGCGAGUAUGCGGGUGGCUAAAACCUGUAUGCGUAAUGAAAGUAAGAGUAGGGAAGGGUUGUUUUUAUUAUUCAUCCUUGCACCUACGACCGACCACGAUCAUAGAGAGAGGUUUGAGUUGGAGCACAUCUGUUAGGACCCGAAAGAUGGUGAACUAUGCCUGAGUAGGGUGAAGUCAGGCGAAAGCCUGAUGGAAGCUCGUAGCGAUACUGACGUGCAAAUC